Molecule: ribosomal RNA, 697 nt
Filed under: Bacillus sp. (in: firmicutes)
Lineage: Bacteria; Bacillati; Bacillota; Bacilli; Caryophanales; Bacillaceae
Description: bacterial SSU rRNA
Rfam family: Bacterial small subunit ribosomal RNA
Source: RNAcentral
GGCGUGCCUAAUACAUGCAAGUCGAGCGGACAGAUGGGAGCUUGCUCCCUGAUGUUAGCGGCGGACGGGUGAGUAACACGUGGGUAACCUGCCUGUAAGACUGGGAUAACUCCGGGAAACCGGGGCUAAUACCGGAUGGUUGUUUGAACCGCAUGGUUCAGACAUAAAAGGUGGCUUCGGCUACCACUUACAGAUGGACCCGCGGCGCAUUAGCUAGUUGGUGAGGUAACGGCUCACCAAGGCGACGAUGCGUAGCCGACCUGAGAGGGUGAUCGGCCACACUGGGACUGAGACACGGCCCAGACUCCUACGGGAGGCAGCAGUAGGGAAUCUUCCGCAAUGGACGAAAGUCUGACGGAGCAACGCCGCGUGAGUGAUGAAGGUUUUCGGAUCGUAAAGCUCUGUUGUUAGGGAAGAACAAGUGCCGUUCAAAUAGGGCGGCACCUUGACGGUACCUAACCAGAAAGCCACGGCUAACUACGUGCCAGCAGCCGCGGUAAUACGUAGGUGGCAAGCGUUGUCCGGAAUUAUUGGGCGUAAAGGGCUCGCAGGCGGUUUCUUAAGUCUGAUGUGAAAGCCCCCGGCUCAACCGGGGAGGGUCAUUGGAAACUGGGGAACUUGAGUGCAGAAGAGGAGAGUGGAAUUCCACGUGUAGCGGUGAAAUGCGUAGAGAUGUGGAGGAACACCAGUGGCGAAG